CAACCUGGCGGGUGCCUAAUACAUGCAGUCUAGCGGACAGACUCGGGAGUGAGCGUGGGACGGGUGAGGAACACGUGGGCAAUCUGCCCAUUGGACUGGAAUAACGCCUGGAAACGGGUGCUAAGGCCAGAUAGGCACAGAAGAGGCGUCUCUUUUGUGGGAAAGAUGCUGUGGCAUCGCCAGUGGAGGAGCCCGCGGCGCAUAGGCUGGUUGGAGGGGUGAAGGCCCACCAAAGCGACGAUGCGUAGCCGACCUGAGAGGGUGAACGGCCACUCUGAGGACUGAGACACGGCCCAGACUCCUACGGGAGGCAGCAGUAGGGAAUCUUCCGCAAUGGGCGCAAGCCUGACGGAGCAACGCCGCGUAAGCGAAGAAGGCCUUCGGGUUGUAAAGCUUAGUCACUCGGGAAGAGCGGGUGGGAGAGGGAAUGCUCCCACCUAGACGGUACCUGGAGAGGAAGCCCCGGCAAACUACGUGCCAGCAGCCGCGGUAGU
Molecule: ribosomal RNA, 494 nt
Filed under: uncultured bacterium
Lineage: Bacteria
Description: bacterial SSU rRNA
Rfam family: Bacterial small subunit ribosomal RNA
Source: RNAcentral